AUCAUUUAGUUAUCAAUUAGUUUACUGUUACUUGAGUUAUAUCUAUCAUUUCGUAUACAGCUUAAUCAUGAAAUUUUACAUGUGUUUUAUUCUGUUCUUCUUGGGCAUUCUGAUUUGUCCAUCAUCAUCGCAUCACAGAACCUCAAAAUGUAGUGCCGAAGUAAAAUGUACAGCACGUGUUGGAGAACAUGUGACUGAGGUCAAAGAUAAUAACGGGUGUGUUACAGGCUGCUCUGUACGUUCGCCAUAAGAAGAAUGAACUCAAAUAUUAAGGAUGAUGGCAAACGUCCAAUUAUGUGGGUAUGAAAUUUUAUCCGUUUUUGGGUUUUUGUCUAUUUUAUGCGAAAUGCAAAACUGAGAAUGUUUGCUCUUCAAACUAUGUCAUCCAAUAUAAAAUGAAUAAAGAAAUACUAAUAUAAAUUGAAA
Long non-coding RNA from Tetranychus urticae (two-spotted spider mite), 426 nucleotides. RefSeq lists it as uncharacterized. NCBI's taxonomy places the organism in Eukaryota, Metazoa, Arthropoda, Arachnida, Trombidiformes, Tetranychidae. The record is from RefSeq and is a predicted model, not a curated record.